Molecule: long non-coding RNA, 785 nt
Organism: Anolis carolinensis (green anole)
Lineage: Eukaryota; Metazoa; Chordata; Lepidosauria; Squamata; Anolidae
Exons: 2
Source: RefSeq, a predicted model, not a curated record
AUGUUUCAGCUUUAUUUCACAAAAAGGGGAAACCAGUCUGUUUAGCAAGCAUCACAAAUGCUGGUUUAUUAUCAGUAAAUGUUUGAUUUAACACCUAUUUUAUAUACCUAUAUACUAGGGAUUACAUUAAAAAUGGGGCAGAAAAGGGUCACGAGUGGAAAAAAGUUUAAGAAGUGCUGGUCUAGAGCAUGGUUUUUUUUUCUGUGCCCUUGACCAUGGCCUCUUACACAUAGCUGAAUAAAUUCCCACAUUUUCUGCUUUGAACUGGAAUAUAUGGCUGUGUGCACUCAGAUAACCCAGUCCAAAGCAGAUAUUGUGAGAUUUCUUGCCUUGAUAUUCUGGGCUACAUGGUUGUGUGGAGGGGCCCUAUGAACCUCCUCCAGCACUAUUCACCUACAGAUCUGUUUCUGUUCCUGGAGAAUCUACAGAUGAUGCACUCUUAGCAUCUCUCUUCCCUCAAGGGCAGGUUCGAUAGAUGGUAUCCUUGAAGUGACUGGCUUGACCUUGAAGGAGCUGGGGUUUUAAUGGCUGAUAGGGAGCUCGGGCAUGGGUUGGUCCACAAGGUCACGAAGAGUCAGAAGCAACUGAACAAAAACACAACUGAAGUUAGUAACAACUGAAAGAAGCUGAAGACAAAGGGGAAAAGUGGAAUGAGAUAGAAACUGGGACAUUUCAAAGACAACUGAAAAGAUUGGAUAAAAGAUAAAUUGGCACAGUUCCUGCAAUUUAGAACAGUCGGAACGCUCCACCCCUCUGCUUCCCACCAAUACAAAAAACAAACAGAA